GAGUUUGAUCGUGGCUCAGAUUGAACGCUGGCGGAAUGCUUUACACAUGCAAGUCGAGCGGCAGCGCGGGGCAACCUGGCGGCGAGCGGCGAACGGGUGAGUAAUGCAUCGGAACAUGUCCAUGUCGUGGGGGAUAGCCCGGCGAAAGCCGGAUUAAUACCGCAUACGCCCGAGAGGGGAAAGUGGGGGACCGCAAGGCCUCACGCGAUUGGGUUGGCCGAUGUCCGAUUAGCUAGUUGGCGGGGUAAGAGCCCACCAAGGCGAUGAUCGGUAGCUGGUCUGAGAGGAUGAUCAGCCACACUGGGACUGAGACACGGCCCAGACUCCUACGGGAGGCAGCAGUGGGGAAUUUUGGAC
Molecule: ribosomal RNA, 357 nt
Filed under: uncultured beta proteobacterium
Lineage: Bacteria; Pseudomonadati; Pseudomonadota; Betaproteobacteria
Description: bacterial SSU rRNA
Rfam family: Bacterial small subunit ribosomal RNA
Source: RNAcentral